AUUGAACGCUGGCGGCAUGCCUUACACAUGCAAGUCGAACGGCAGCGGGGACUUCGGUCCGCCGGCGAGUGGCGAACGGGUGAGUAAUGUAUCGGAACGUACCUUUCAGUGGGGGAUAACGUAGCGAAAGUUACGCUAAUACCGCAUAUUCUCUGAGGAGGAAAGCAGGGGACCUUCGGGCCUUGCGCUGAUGGAGCGGCCGAUAUCAGAUUAGCUAGUUGGUGGGGUAAAGGCUCACCAAGGCUACGAUCUGUAGCGGGUCUGAGAGGAUGAUCCGCCACACUGGGACUGGGACACGGCCCAGACUCCUACGGGAGGCAGCAGUGGGGAAUUUUGGACAAUGGGCGAAAGCCUGAUCCAGCCAUGCCGCGUGAGUGAAGAAGGCCUUCGGGUUGUAAAGCUCUUUCGGACGGGAAGAAAUCAUGAGGGCUAAUAUCCCUUGUGGAUGACGGUACCGUAAUAAGAAGCACCGGCUAACUACGUGCCAGCCGCCGCGGUAG
This 500-nucleotide ribosomal RNA is filed under the name uncultured bacterium. RNAcentral's name for it is "partial 16S ribosomal RNA". It matches the Rfam family "Bacterial small subunit ribosomal RNA", at positions 30 to 523 of the family's 1533-position model. The record is from RNAcentral.